GUAGGUGGCAAGCGUUGUCCGGAAUUAUUGGGCGUAAAGCGCGCGCAAGCGGUUCUUUAAGUCUGAUGUGAAAGCCCACGGCUCAACCGUGGAGGGUCAUUGGAAACUGGAGAACUUGAGUACAGAAGAGGAAAGCGGAAUUCCACGUGUAGCGGUGAAAUGCGUAGAGAUGUGGAGGAACACCAGUGGCGAAGGCGGCUUUCUGGUCUGUAACUGACGCUGAGGCGCGAAAGCGUGGGGAGCAAACAGGAUUAGAUACCCUGGUAGUCCACGCCGUAAACGAUGAGUGCUAAGUGUUAGGGGGUUUCCGCCCCCCUUAGUGCUGCAGCUAACGCAUUAAGCACUCCGCCUGGGAGUACGGCCGCAAGGCUG
RNAcentral lists this ribosomal RNA (372 nucleotides) under uncultured organism. RNAcentral's name for it is "partial 16S ribosomal RNA". It matches the Rfam family "Bacterial small subunit ribosomal RNA", at positions 527 to 896 of the family's 1533-position model. The record is from RNAcentral.